GAAUUUUAUAUAGAUAAAUUAUUUUUUUUAGUUUGUGUAAUAAUUGAAGUAUAUUUAAUUGGGAGGAUUGUUAAAUUAAAAAAACUUUAAUUAUGAAAAAUAUUAAUUAAUGAAUUUAAGAAUGGUUAUGAAAUUAAUAAAGAAUUAAUUACCUUAGGGAUAACAGCGUAAUAUUUUUGGAGAGUACAUAUUAAUAAAAAUGUUUGC
Molecule: ribosomal RNA, 207 nt
Filed under: Crematogaster abstinens
Lineage: Eukaryota; Metazoa; Arthropoda; Insecta; Hymenoptera; Formicidae
Description: partial large subunit ribosomal RNA
Source: RNAcentral